Symphalangus syndactylus (siamang) is the source of this 361-nucleotide long non-coding RNA. RefSeq lists it as uncharacterized. Lineage: Eukaryota; Metazoa; Chordata; Mammalia; Primates; Hylobatidae. The record is from RefSeq and is a predicted model, not a curated record.
UGUGCUUCCUGGUUGCCUGACACGAGGUAAUGCAGCCAUGCUGGCUGACCUGGGCAUGAGUGUUCACAGUGAGAAUGGGGCUCUGGGAAGAGGAGGAGCCAAUGAACACAGUAUUCCCUGGAUUGUAAACUGCACUGAAGGUUUAUAAAAACUUGGAGAAAACUUUGACUAAAGAGAUGAAGUCUCGCUAUGUUGUCCAGGCUGGCCUUGAACUCCUGGGCUAAGCAAUCUUCCCACCUCAGUCUCCCCAAGUGCUGGGAUUACAGGCCAGGAAGACUGGGCAGAGAAGAUCUGGAGUAGGGGAUAGCAAAGGAGAUUAAGAUCAAGAAAAUUAAGAAAGGCAGAGGAAAAUGAGAUAAAG